This 2033-nucleotide ribosomal RNA is filed under the name human oral metagenome. RNAcentral's name for it is "bacterial LSU rRNA". It matches the Rfam family "Bacterial large subunit ribosomal RNA", at positions 1101 to 2925 of the family's 2925-position model. The record is from RNAcentral.
UUGGCUUAGAAGCAGCCAUCCUUGAAAGAGUGCGUAAUAGCUCACUGGUCAAGUGAUCGUGCGCCGACAAUGUAGCGGGGCUCAAGCACACCGCCGAAGCCGCGGACCCAUAACAGUGUUCCCUUCACCGUCCCACAUCGCUGGGGUGGUGGCAGGGGUUGUGGGUGGUAGGGGAGCGUCCUGCACCGGGGGAAGCCUGUGGGUGACUGCUGGUGGACGGUGCGGGAGUGAGAAUGCAGGCAUGAGUAGCGAUACUAGGGUGAGAAGCCCUAGCGCCGAAUGACCAAGGGUUCCAGGGCCAGGCUAGUCCGCCCUGGGUGAGUCGGGACCUAAGGCGAGGCCGACGGGCGUAGUCGAUGGAUGACGGGUUGAUAUUCCCGUACCGGACCGGAUACCGACCGUGCCGACGCGCGGGUGCUGACCCACGCCCCGCGCCGCCCAUCGCGCCUCCCGGCCGGUUAUUCGUAACCGCGGGGGGCGGGCGGCGGGGGUCUGGGGACCCUCCGUGCAGGUAGGCAAGCGUAUUAACAGGGGUGACGCGCAGUGGUGGCCCCGCGGGUCUGAUGGCUCGGCCCGUUCAAGCGCGCGGCCCGCCGCCCAGGCAAAUCCGGGCGGCUGCCUUCAAUGGCGGGGGUGAGGCGCGACGGUGACCCGGCCCGAUGGGGCCGGGGAAGCAGGGUGAUCCUGAGGCGCCUAGAAAAGCCUCGACGCGAGGGGCCGGUCCGCCCGUACCCCAAACCGACACAGGUGGUCGGGCAGAGCAUGCCCAGGCGCACGGGCGAACCGUGGUGAAGGAACUCGGCAAAACGCCCCCGUAACUUCGGGAGAAGGGGGGCCCGAACCCUGAGGCCCCGAGCGGGCUGGGGGUGAGGGUCGCAGAGGCCAGGGGGGAGCGACUGUUUACUAAAAACACAGGUCCGUGCGAAGCCGUAAGGCGAUGUAUACGGACUGACGCCUGCCCGGUGCUGGAAGGUUAAGAGGAACCAUCAACCCUCGGGUGAAGUGGUGAAUUUAAGCCCCAGUAAACGGCGGUGGUAACUAUAACCAUCCUAAGGUAGCGAAAUUCCUUGUCGGGUAAGUUCCGACCUGCACGAAUGGCGUAACGACUCCCCCGCUGUCUCCACCACGGGCCCGGCGAAAUUGCAUUACGAGUAAAGAUGCUCGUUGCGCGCAGAAGGACGGAAAGACCCCGGGACCUUCACUGCAGCUUGGUAUUGGCGCCCGGUUCGGCUCGUGCAGGAUAGGUGGGAGACUGUGAGGCCGCCGCGUCAGCGGUGCGCGGAGUCGUCGUUGAGAUACCACUCCGGCCGUGUCGUGCGCCUGAACCUGGGCCCGUGAUCCGGGUCAGGGACAGUGCCUGGCGGGUAGUUCAACUGGGGCGGUUGCCUCCCAAAGGGUAACGGAGGCGCUCAAGGGUCCCCUCAGCCUGGUCGGCAACCAGGUGUCGAGUGCAAGUGCACAAGGGGGCUUGACUGCGAGACCGACGGGUCGGGCAGGUGCGAAAGCAGGAACUAGUGAUCCGGCGAUCCCGAGUGGAAGGGUCGUCGCUCAACGGAUAAAAGGUACCCCGGGGAUAACAGGCUGAUCCUGCCCAAGAGUCCAUAUCGACGGCAUGGUUUGGCACCUCGAUGUCGGCUCGUCGCAUCCUGGGGCUGGAGCAGGUCCCAAGGGUUGGGCUGUUCGCCCAUUAAAGCGGUACGCGAGCUGGGUUUAGAACGUCGUGAGACAGUUCGGUCCCUAUCCUCUGCGCGCGCAGGAGACUUGAGGAGACCCGUCCCCAGUACGAGAGGACCGGGACGGACGAACCUCUGGUGCGCCAGUUGUCCCGCCAGGGGCACCGCUGGUUGGCCACGUUCGGAACGGGUAACCGCUGAAAGCAUCUAAGCGGGAAACCACCUCCAAGACCAGGUCUCCACACAACCCCCACGGGGGUUGCGGAAGGCCCCCAGCAGACCACUGGGUGGAUAGGCCGGAGGUGCACACCCGGCAACGGGCUCAGCCGACCGGUACUAAUCGGCCAACACGAACACACC